RNAcentral lists this ribosomal RNA (440 nucleotides) under uncultured bacterium. RNAcentral describes it as "partial 16S ribosomal RNA". It matches the Rfam family "Bacterial small subunit ribosomal RNA", at positions 338 to 795 of the family's 1533-position model. The record is from RNAcentral.
CCUACGGGUGGCAGCAGUGGGGAAUAUUGCACAAUGGGGGAAACCCUGAUGCAGAAACGCCGCGUGAGUGAAGAAGUAUUUCGGUAUGUAAAGCUCUAUCAGCAGGGAAGAGAAUGACGGUACCUGACUAAGAAGCCCCGGCUAACUACGUGCCAGCAGCCGCGGUAAUACGUAGGGGGCGAGCGUUAUCCGGAUUUACUGGGUGUAAAGGGAGCGUAGGCCGGUCUUUAAGCGUGCCGUGAAAUUUUGUGGCUCAACCAUGAGAGUGCGGCGCGAACUGGAGACCUUGAGUGCGCGGAAGGCAGGCGGAAUGCGUGGUGUAGCGGUGAAAUGCUUAGAUAUCACGAAGAACUCCGAUUGCGAAGGCAGCCUACUAAACUGCCACUGACAUUGAUGCUCGAAAGUGUGGGUAUCAAACAGGAUUAGAUACCCGAGUAGUC